AUUGAACGCUGGCGGCAGGCUUAACACAUGCAAGUCGAGCGGUAACAGAGAGAAGCUUGCUUCUCUGCUGACGAGCGGCGGACGGGUGAGUAAUGCCUAGGAAUCUGCCUAGUAGUGGGGGAUAACUUGCCGAAAGGUAAGCUAAUACCGCAUACGUCCUACGGGAGAAAGGAGGGGACCUUCGGGCCUUUCGCUAUUAGAUGAGCCUAGGUCGGAUUAGUUAGUUGGUGAGGUAAUGGCUCACCAAGACCGCGAUCCGUAACUGGUCUGAGGGGAUGGCCAGUCACACUGGAACUGAGACACGGUCCAUACUCCUACGGGAGGCAGCAGUGGGGAAUAUUGGACAAUGGGGGGAACCCUGAUCCAGCCAUGCCGCGUGUGUGAAGAAGGUCUUAGGAUUGUAAAGCACUUUAAGUUGGGAGGAAGAGCAGUUAACUAAUAUUUGACUGUUUUGACGUUACCGACAGAAUAAGCACCGGCUAACUUCGUGCCAGCCGCCGCGGUAA
Molecule: ribosomal RNA, 506 nt
Filed under: uncultured bacterium
Lineage: Bacteria
Description: partial 16S ribosomal RNA
Rfam family: Bacterial small subunit ribosomal RNA
Source: RNAcentral